GUUGAGAACAUUCCUUCAGGGAUCUCAGAUCAUGCUCCAAUUAUGGUUACAAUUACAAGUAAGAUUACUAAUCCUAAGAAAUCUCACAGCUUCAGAUUUCUGAACUGCUUGACUAAGGAGGAAGAAUUCCUCCACAUUGUAAAAUAGAGUUGGGAAGUCAGCCUCAAAGGAAAACCCAUAUAUUGCUUGUGGAUGAAAUUGAAAAGGUUGCAACCCGUCUGAAGCAGUUAGGCAAAAAAUUCUCAACAAUCUCGGAUAAAAUACUAAUAGCUAGGGGAAGGUUGAAUGAGGCUCAAGAAUAGUUACAACAUGAUCAAUUCAACACAACUCUGACUCAGGAUGUGAAAGUAUGCACUGAUAAUUUAAUGAAACUUCACAAGUCAGAGGAAGAGAUGUUGAAGCAGAAAUCCAAGGUCAACUGGUUACAACUUGGUGAUGGCAACAACUCCUUUUCCAUGCAACUGUGAAAGACAAUUCAAGAAAGAAAGACAUGACUAAACUGACAAUAGUAGAAGCUAAAGUAGUCUAUACACAGGGAGAGAUGGAACAAGAAGUCUUAUCUUUCUACAACAACCUGGUUGGUACAAACUCUACUCAUAAAACAGGGGUGAAUCUAAUUGCUUUGAGAAACGGUAACUUUAUCAACAGGGAAAUGGCCAACAAUAUGAUUCAAAGGAUUAAUGAAAAAGAGGUGUGGGAGGCACUGCAAAAUAUUGGUGAUAACAAGGCUCCUAGAAUUGAUGGAUACAGCUCACACUUUUUCAAAAAUAAUAGGGGCAUAGUGAAAUAUGAUGUGCUUAGGGCUAUUAAUGAAUUCUUCUAAGAUGAAAAACUAUACCCUGCUGUAAACUGCACUCUGGUGACUAUUCUGCCCAAAUUCAAUGAUGCUAGUACAUUGAAGGAUAUGAGGCCAAUUUCGUGCUGCACUACCAUCUAUAAGAUCAUCUCAAAGAUCCUCACAAAAAGGCUGGGCAAAUUGAUUGGUCAUGUGGUUGAUGAUAGCCAAUUAGCAUUUGUUCCUGGUAGAGUCAUACGUGGCAACAUCAUCUUGGCCCAAGAACUGGUGUGAGGUUAUGGCAGGAAGGGUAUCUACCCUAGAUGCAUGAUACAAAUGGACAUUCAGAAGGCAUAUGAUACACUAGAAUGGGAUGCAUUCAAAAGUAUUCUUAUGGAGCUUGGGUUUCCUAAGCAAUUUACCAGAUGGACUAUGCUCUGUAUUGAAACUAUGUCCUACAGAUAUUCUAUGAAUGGCUCACCCAUGUUGUUUGUCAUGGUCAUGGAAUACUUGCAUAGGGUGGUCAAAGAACUGAAUAAUAUCCCUGAUUUCAACUUCCACCCCAAAUGUGAGCAGUUGGAAAUUACAAACCUUUGUUUUGCGGAUGACCUUCUCCUAUUUACCAAAGGAGACCAAAAAAUUGUAGCUCUAAUCAUGGACAAAGUCAACAAAUUUUCUAAUAGCACAUGCUUAAAGGCUAGUCAUGCUAAGUAUAAAGUCUACUUGGGAGGGGUUGACAAGCAAACCCAGAAAAGCAUCCUGCAUGCUACUGGAUUCACAAUGGGAUCCCUACCAUUUAAAUACCUUGGGGUUCCUCUUGCUAGUAAAAAGCUUACUGUGGACCUAUGCUCCCCCUGAUUGAGAGAAUAACAAGCAGGAUGAGCCAUUGGAGCACAAGACUUCUUAGUUAUGCAGGUAGACUACAACUCAUAAAAAGUGUUAUGUUUACCAUCACUAAUUAUUGGAUGCAGGUGUUCCCCAUACCAAAACAGGUCCUCAAACACCUAGAAGCCAGAUGUAGAAAAUUCUUAUGGACAUGGAAAGAAUAUGGCUGUAGGAAAGCACCUAUGUCUUGGGAGCAUUUAUGUGACCCAAAACAGGCUGGGGGGUGGAACCUAAUAGCUCUUAUAGACUAGAACAAAGCCACUAUGGCUAAAUUAUUAUGGAAUCUUGCCUCAAAAUCGGAGAAACUGUGGGUAAGAUGGAUCCAUACCUAUUACUUGAAGGGUGCUGAAAUCUCAUAGUUCCAGCCAGGUUCUAACUGCUCCUGGAUUUUGAAGGUUAUGCUGAAGUACAGACCCAUGAUUAUGCACACUUUAAGCUGGACUGAUGCUAUUUCAACUAAUAAAUUCAGAACCAAAUAGAUGUAUAGGGAACUUCGUGGUCCUAAAGACAGGGUUAUCUGGAGGAAUCUAUCCUAUGCCAACAUAGCUAGACCCCCAUGCUCAGUUUAUCCUAUGGUUGGACUACCAACAAAGACUUCCGACGAAAGACAGGCUUCUCAGAUAUGGCAUUACAACAGAUGGACUUUGUGCUCUCUGCAGUUUAGAUGAAAGUGAUGAACACCUCUUCUUCACCUGUCCCAUUUCUACCUCUAUAAGGCAAUAUGUACUAAAGUGGUUGAGAUACAACCAUAGGCCUAGGGAUGGGAGGAAGAACUGAAUUGGAUAAUUAAGCAAUCUAAGGGGAAGAACAUGUGAUGCAAGUUGUUAAAGGGGGCUGCAGCUGAAACAGUAUACUCUAUUUGGAAUAUGAAAAACCUUUGUAUCUUUCAAGGUGGGGAAUUAAUGUAGAUUUGGGC
RNAcentral lists this long non-coding RNA (2576 nucleotides) under Lupinus angustifolius (narrow-leaved blue lupine). Its description in RNAcentral is "long non-coding RNA (LANG_LNC000245)". The record is from RNAcentral. Lineage: Eukaryota; Viridiplantae; Streptophyta; Magnoliopsida; Fabales; Fabaceae.